Molecule: long non-coding RNA, 564 nt
Organism: Myotis lucifugus (little brown bat)
Lineage: Eukaryota; Metazoa; Chordata; Mammalia; Chiroptera; Vespertilionidae
Exons: 2
Source: RefSeq, a predicted model, not a curated record
GCUCUACCUGCCGGCCCUGUGGUUCCACCACGUCCGGCAGUCCCAUGGCUGCAUUGCUGUGAAUUUCUGGUAUGACAUGGAGUAUGACCUCAAGUACAGUUACUUCCAGCUGCUCGACUCCCUCACGAAGGCCUCGGGCCUUGCCUGAUGGAGGCCUGGUGAAUGAAUAUUGCCCAUGACAACUUGUGGAAAAGGUUGCGCCCCUCCCGGGCCAGGUCCAUUCUAGAGGCAACGUGGAGUCAGAGUGUGCUGGUUCCCGGCCCAGCUUGGCUUGCGACCAGCUUUGCAGGAUCUCUGGAGGCUGACGGGAGCAGGAGGUACCUGCAGUCCGGGCGUGGCUCACCGGUGAGGCAGCAGCCUGCACUGGAGGAGGGGUGAGGCGCCAGGUGCGGCACGGCCUCACCUCCGUGACCCUGGGUGAGUGAGUGCCUCGGAGCAUUGGGGACCUGUCUGUAAGACAGAUAAUGAUGGUUCCUACCUCCGGAUGUUGUGAGCACCGGAGAUGGUAUCUGUGAGGGCAGCAAGGCUGGCACAGAGGAAAAGCUCAAUAAAAGAUGGCUGUGA